Long non-coding RNA from Dreissena polymorpha, 757 nucleotides. RefSeq lists it as uncharacterized. Lineage: Eukaryota; Metazoa; Mollusca; Bivalvia; Myida; Dreissenidae. The record is from RefSeq and is a predicted model, not a curated record. The transcript is spliced from 3 exons.
UUGAGUGUAAAAUUGUUCUAUUUAUUUAGCCUUUUCAUUAGAGAUAAAAUUGUUUCAUGCAGUAGAACAGUGUUACAAAGACGCGGAUAUGUUUCCAAUGUUCUGGUGGUAUACUCAAAUUAGCCAAUGGAAUAAAUGGAGUGUAUUCACUCGUACCUAGCCGUGGGAAAUUUUAUUUGAAUUUUAUUGGACACUUACAAAGGUCAGCGACUAUGGUAUAUAAACAGCCAAGGUGCCUGUACCACGUGACAUUUUCGGCUAUGUGUGGGACAAUCGGAUGUCAACAAACCAUCGCUUCAGACUUGACAUGGAUUAGUCGAAGGAUUUGUUACGCUUUAAGGCGCGAAGCUGUGUUAGAAUUAGAUGAACACCAUCAAACCACACGGAAGGUGUUAUGCGGCAAGUUAAUUAUCAAAACCACAGUGACAGAGACGGACCCAGCACCAUUCUGUGAUGUUUACGGAAAGCUAUUUCAACUGACUAUGCAAACAUACCAUUUAAUAUGUAUUUUGGCAUAAUCAAAACAAAGUGUAUGUAUUGAUAUUUGUGUAUAUUUAUGUGUUUUGUAUCUAUGUUAUUAAUGAAAUUGAUUAGAUGAAAAUAAAAUCUUAGUAUAUAUGUUAAUAAAACAAUUGUUUCAUAACAAAUAACAAUAUAAAUCCAAUAAUAAUUGUUUGUGGUCUAUUAAGUUCAUUUAGUUUCCAAUAUCAUCUCCAUAUGAAUAUCUUAAGUAUAUCAAAAUAAACACUUCAUUAAU